RNAcentral lists this ribosomal RNA (1179 nucleotides) under uncultured bacterium. Its description in RNAcentral is "bacterial SSU rRNA". It matches the Rfam family "Bacterial small subunit ribosomal RNA", at positions 223 to 1401 of the family's 1533-position model. The record is from RNAcentral.
GGAUGGGGACGCGUCGGAUUAGCUUGACGGCGGGGCGACGGCCCACCGUGGCGACGAUCCGCAGGGGUUCUGAGAGGAAGGUCCCCCACACUGGCACUGAGACACGGGCCAGACUCCUACGGGAGGCAGCAGUGAGGAAUAUUGGUCAAUGGCCGAGAGGCUGAACCAGCCAAGUAGCGUGCAGGAUGACGGCCCUACGGGUUGUAAACUGCUUUUGCGGGAGGAUAAAAGGACGCCACGUGUGGCGUUUUGCAGGUAUCCCGUGAAUAAGGACCGGCUAAUUCCGUGCCAGCAGCCGCGGUAAUACGGAAGGUCCGGGCGUUAUCCGGAUUUAUUGGGUUUAAAGGGAGCGCAGGCGGGCUUUUAAGCGUGACGUGAAAUGUGGAUGCUCAACAUCCGAGCUGCGUCGCGAACUGGAGGCCUUGAGUGAGUACGACGUGGACGGAAUUCGUGGUGUAGCGGUGAAAUGCUUAGAUAUCACGAAGAACCCCGAUUGGCGAAGGCAGUCCACGAGUCCUUUACUGACGCUAAAGCUCGAAAGUGCGGGUAUCGAACAGGAUUAGAUACCCUGGUAGUCCGCACGGUAAACGAUGGAUGCCCGCUGUUUGCGACAUACUGUAAGCGGCCAAGAGAAAUCGUUAAGCAUCCCACCUGGGGAGUACGCCGGCAACGGUGAAACUCAAAGGAAUUGACGGGGGCCCGCACAAGCGGAGGAACAUGUGGUUUAAUUCGAUGAUACGCGAGGAACCUUACCCGGGCUUGAACUGCAGCGGAAGGAUACAGAGAUGUUGACGCCCUUCGGGGCCGCUGUGGAGGUGCUGCAUGGUUGUCGUCAGCUCGUGCCGUGAGGUGUCGGCUUAAGUGCCAUAACGAGCGCAACCCCUUUCGUCAGUUGCCAUCAGGUCAAGCUGGGCACUCUGGCGACACUGCCACCGUAAGGUGUGAGGAAGGUGGGGAUGACGUCAAAUCAGCACGGCCCUUACGUCCGGGGCUACACACGUGUUACAAUGGGUGGUACAGAGAGUCGGCCGCUGGCAAUGGCGGUCCAAUCAUCAAAGCCAUCCUCAGUUCGGAUUGGGGUCUGCAACCCGACCCCAUGAAGCUGGAUUCGCUAGUAAUCGCGCAUCAGCCAUGGCGCGGUGAAUACGAAACCGGGCCUUGUACUCACCGCCCGUCAAG